This 253-nucleotide ribosomal RNA is filed under the name uncultured bacterium. Its description in RNAcentral is "partial 16S ribosomal RNA". It matches the Rfam family "Bacterial small subunit ribosomal RNA", at positions 524 to 776 of the family's 1533-position model. The record is from RNAcentral.
UACGGGGGGAGCAAGCGUUGUUCGGAUUUACUGGGCGUAAAGGGCGCGUAGGCGGCGCAACAAGUCACUUGUGAAAUCUCCGGGCUUAACUCGGAGCGGCCAAGUGAUACUGUCGUGCUAGAGUGCGGAAGGGGCAACUGGAAUUCUCGGUGUAGCGGUGAAAUGCGUCGAUAUCGAGAGGAACACCUGCGGCGAAGGCGGGUUGCUGGGCCGACACUGACGCUGAGGCGCGAAAGCCAGGGGAGCGAACGGG